RNAcentral lists this non-coding RNA (29 nucleotides) under Mus musculus (house mouse). The record is from RNAcentral. Lineage: Eukaryota; Metazoa; Chordata; Mammalia; Rodentia; Muridae.
UGAAACUACAUUGUGCUCAUCAGCUGGUC